ACAGUACAAACUGAGCAGACCGUGAUAGAAUAUCAUGGAGUCGGGUCACAUGAGUGACAGUGGUGUAUUACAUCCACGGGACAGU
This 85-nucleotide non-coding RNA is filed under the name uncultured Lachnospira sp. RNAcentral's name for it is "NiCo riboswitch". It matches the Rfam family "NiCo (Nickel/Cobalt) riboswitch aptamer". The record is from RNAcentral. Lineage: Bacteria; Bacillati; Bacillota; Clostridia; Lachnospirales; Lachnospiraceae.